This 253-nucleotide ribosomal RNA is filed under the name uncultured bacterium. RNAcentral's name for it is "partial 16S ribosomal RNA". It matches the Rfam family "Bacterial small subunit ribosomal RNA", at positions 524 to 776 of the family's 1533-position model. The record is from RNAcentral.
UACGUAGGGUGCAAGCGUUGUCCGGAAUUAUUGGGCGUAAAGAGCUCGUAGGCGGUUUGUCGCGUCUGCUGUGAAAACCCGAGGCUCAACCUCGGGCCUGCAGUGGGUACGGGCAGACUAGAGUGCGGUAGGGGAGAUUGGAAUUCCUGGUGUAGCGGUGGAAUGCGCAGAUAUCAGGAGGAACACCGAUGGCGAAGGCAGCUUGCUACACAGUUAUUGACGCUGAGGCACGAAAGCGUGGGGAUCAAACAGG